GACGAACGCUGGCGGCGUGCUUAACACAUGCAAGUCGAACGGUGAAGCGAUUGCUUUCUCUCGUGGUUCAGUGGCGAACGGGUGAGUAACACGUGAGUAACCUGCCCAUCACUCUGGGAUAAGCACUGGAAACUGUGGCUAAUACUGGAUACGAGCUACCCCUGCAUGGUGGGGUGGUGGAAGUAUCUGUCGGUGAUGGAUGGACUCGCGGCCUAUCAGCUUGUUGGCGGGGUAUUGGCUCACCAAGGCGUCGACGGGUAGCCGGCCUGAGAGGGUGACCGGCCACACUGGGACUGAGACACGGCCCAGACUCCUACGGGAGGCAGCAGUGGGGAAUAUUGCACAAUGGGCGGAAGCCUGAUGCAGCGACGCCGCGUGCGGGAUGACGGCCUUCGGGUUGUAAACCUCUUUCAGCAGUGAAGAAGCGAAAGUGACGGUAAUUGGAGAAGAAGCACCGGCUAACUACGUG
RNAcentral lists this ribosomal RNA (469 nucleotides) under uncultured bacterium. RNAcentral's name for it is "partial 16S ribosomal RNA". It matches the Rfam family "Bacterial small subunit ribosomal RNA", at positions 28 to 507 of the family's 1533-position model. The record is from RNAcentral.